GUCCAGCAGCCGCGGUCAUACCGGCAGCACGAGUGAUGGCCGCUUUUAUUGGGCCUAAAGCGUCCGUAGCUUGCUGUGUAAGUCCAUUGGGAAAUCCACGCGCUCAACGCGUGGGCGUCCGGUGGAAACUGCACGGCUUGGGGCCGAGAGACUCGACGGGUACGUCCGGGGUAGGAGUGAAAUCCUAUAAUCCUGGACGGACCACCAAUGGGGAAACCACGUCGAGAGACCGGACCCGACAGUGAGGGACGAAAGCCAGGGUCUCGAACCGGAUUAGAAACCCUGGUAGUCC
This 292-nucleotide ribosomal RNA is filed under the name uncultured bacterium. RNAcentral describes it as "partial 16S ribosomal RNA". It matches the Rfam family "Archaeal small subunit ribosomal RNA", at positions 456 to 747 of the family's 1478-position model. The record is from RNAcentral.